RNAcentral lists this small RNA (511 nucleotides) under Pan troglodytes (chimpanzee). RNAcentral describes it as "processed transcript". The record is from RNAcentral. Lineage: Eukaryota; Metazoa; Chordata; Mammalia; Primates; Hominidae.
GUGAGAUUUUAUUGGAGUAUUCAGACAGAAUGCCAGGAGGAAAAGAGAAACAUUUUCAUUGACAACCAGUUUUAUCUUAGGAAACUGAGUCAAGAAGAGUAUGAACGGCAAGAAAGAGAGCACAGGCUGUCAGCUGCAGAUGAAAAGGCAGUUUCGGCUGCAGAGGAAGUAAAAACUUACAAGCGGAGAAUUGAAGAAAUGGAGGAUGAAUUACAGAAGACAGAGCGGUCAUUUAAAAACCAGAUCGCUACCCAUGAGAAGAAAGCUCAUGAAAACUGGGUAAGAUUUCUUUUUUUCUUUCCCUUAUUUUGUGCAUAGUCUCCCACAACUGAAUUUGGAUAUUUUUCUUCAAUAGCUCAAAGCUCGUGCUGCAGAAAGAGCUAUAGCUGAAGAGAAAAGGGAAGCUGCCAACUUGAGACACAAAUUAUUAGAAUUAACACAAAAGAUGGCAAUGCUGCAAGAAGAACCUGUGAUUGUAAAACCAAUGCCAGGAAAACCAAAUACACAAAAC